GUCCACGCCGUAAACGAUGGGCACUAGGUGCUUGGGGGAGCGACCCCCUGAGUGCCGACGCUAACGCAUUAAGUGCCCCGCCUGGGGAGUACGGCCGCAAGGCUGAAACUCAAAGGAAUUGACGGGGGCCCCGCACAAGCGGUGGAGCAUGUGGUUUAAUUCGACGCAACGCGAAGAACCUUACCUAGGCUUGACAUACACGGGAAACCUUCCAGAAACGGGAGGCCCUCUUCGGAGCCCGUGCACAGGUGCUGCAUGGCUGUCGU
This 266-nucleotide ribosomal RNA is filed under the name uncultured bacterium. RNAcentral's name for it is "partial 16S ribosomal RNA". It matches the Rfam family "Bacterial small subunit ribosomal RNA", at positions 793 to 1055 of the family's 1533-position model. The record is from RNAcentral.